Molecule: ribosomal RNA, 1317 nt
Filed under: Triticum aestivum (bread wheat)
Lineage: Eukaryota; Viridiplantae; Streptophyta; Magnoliopsida; Poales; Poaceae
Description: partial small subunit ribosomal RNA
Source: RNAcentral
AUGGACUUGUUGGCCUUUUCGACCGGUGAAUUUCAUAUCAAAUUUCACCUACCAAACAGGGCUGAUAAUUUUACAUGGAGCCUGGUCGCAGUCUAUGGGGUUGCCCAAGAUGAGCAUAAAUCCGCUUUCCUUCGUGAACUGGUGAAUCUGGCUAAGGAUAACCACCCGUACCCAAUGCUUAUUGGAGGGGAUUUCAAUAUCCUUAGCUACCAGGAGGAAAAAAAUAAUGACCGCUUCGACGCUCACUGGCCUUUCCUAUUCAAUGUUGUGAUUGAUAGUUUGGACCUUCGGGAGGCUUGUAUGUCGGGGCGGCAGUUCACUUGGGCUAAUAACCGUUCUGUGCCAACGUACGAGAAGCUCGAUAGGGUAUUCAUGGAUACCGAAUGGGAGCUAAAAUUUCCUAUGGUAACCGUACGAGCCCUAGAGAGAAUCGAGGCAUUAUCGGAUCAUGCACCAAUCAUUCUUGAUUCUAAUUCUACGAGCCAUUCUUCCCGCCACCCUUUCAAAUUUGAAUUGGCAUGGCUGCACCGGGAAGGUUUUGUAGAAAUAAUCAAGAAAGUUUGGGAGAGGCCAGCCAUUGGUCGUACACCGAUUCAGAGAUGGAAUUAUAAGAUAAGGGCCAUGAGGCAACACCUCUCUGGAUGGGCGAAACACAUCAAUGGGUUAUAUAAAAAAGAAAAGCAGCGCCUUUGUACCAUCAUUGAUGACCUCGACAAAAUUGCAGAGACCCGCACCUUAUCUCAACAUGAGAUUGAAUUGAAAAAUCAAUCUACUGAGAAGGUUGCCCGUCUUCUGCGAGAAGAGGAGAUCAAAUACUACCAAAGGUCCAAAGCUGACUUCAUUCUAAUGGGAGAUAGUAAUACAAGAUACUUCCAAUUGCUCGCCAAUGGUCGACAUAGGAAGAAAUGUAUUCAUAGUCUCCAACAGGAUGAAGGGCGGAUCAAAGGUCAAAGGGAGCUCAAAAACUAUAUCACCAACUACUACAAAUCUCUGUUCGGAGCGUCUGAUGAAGGAAAUGUCACCCUUGACGAGACCCGAACAGAUGAUAUUCCACAAGUCACGGCAGAAGAGAAUGACAUCCUCACGGCACCUUUCUCAGAAGAGGAGGUGAGAGCGGCGGUGUUCCAAAUGGAACACAACAAAGCUCCAGGCCCUGAUGGUUUCCCCACAGAAUUCUAUCAGAAUUUCUGGGAUAUCAUCAAGGCUGGCCUUUUGGAGUUGUUCAAUUGUCUUAAUGCCAAUCGACUUGAUCUAUUCAGAAUAAAUUUUGGCGAGAUUUUUUUGUUGCCGAAGAUUAAGGAGGCUGAACGGAUUCAG